This 404-nucleotide ribosomal RNA is filed under the name uncultured bacterium. RNAcentral's name for it is "bacterial SSU rRNA". It matches the Rfam family "Bacterial small subunit ribosomal RNA", at positions 355 to 776 of the family's 1533-position model. The record is from RNAcentral.
UGGGGAAUUUUGCACAAUGGGCGGAAGCCUGAUGCAGCGACGCCGCGUGGAGGAUGAAGGCCUUCGGGUUGUAAACUCCUUUUGUAGGGGACGAUGGUGACGGUACCCUACGAAUAAGCCACGGCUAACUCUGUGCCAGCAGCCGCGGUAAGACAGAGGUGGCGAGCGUUGUUCGGAAUCACUGGGCUUAAAGGGCGCGUAGGUGGUAGGGUAAGUCCGGGGUGGAAUCCUAUGGCUUAACCAUAGAAUUGCCUUGGAGACUGCUUUACUUGAGUCAGUAAGGGGAGGGCAGAAUUCCUGGUGUAGCGGUGAAAUGCGUAGAUAUCAGGAGGAAGGCCGGUGGCGAAGGCGGCCCUCUGGUACUGGACUGACGCUGAGGCGCGAAAGCGUGGGGAGCGAACAGG